UGUUGAGAAGCUUUGGAAGAAGCAAUAAAUUUUUGAUUUAUUGAAGGAUGUUUAUUGAGAAUCCCUCAACAG
Molecule: transfer RNA, 72 nt
Filed under: Microcosmus sulcatus
Lineage: Eukaryota; Metazoa; Chordata; Ascidiacea; Stolidobranchia; Pyuridae
Description: transfer RNA-Lys
Source: RNAcentral